Molecule: long non-coding RNA, 614 nt
Filed under: Homo sapiens (human)
Lineage: Eukaryota; Metazoa; Chordata; Mammalia; Primates; Hominidae
Description: HSALNT0132577
Source: RNAcentral
AUUUAUUCAUUUGUGUAUGUUGAACCAGCAUUUCAUCCCAAAGAUGCAGCCGACUUGAUUGUGGUGGAUAAGCUUUUUGAUGUGCUGCUGGAUUCUGUUUGCUAGUAUUUUAUUAAGAAUUUUUGCAUUAAUGUUCAUCAGGGAUAUUGGCCUGGAUUGAGCAGGCCAUUUCCAAUCCAGCGGAAGACCUUCUAGAAGAGGUGAUGGGUGGGAGAGUGCUGGCAUACUAUGUGAAGCUACUAUUUGGAGUUGGACACGAGUGCAUGUGACCUUGUGCCACAGCGGGAAUGUGAGCUGGAUGACAAAUGGAGAUUUGGACUUGUGAUAAUUGGCCUCUGUGUCAUUGUGUGGAAGACUGACUGGUCCCUUUAUUUCCUGUAGCUUGACUACCACACAAAUGAAUCCACUCAAAUGUUGGCAAGUGGAGCAGAGUCCCAGGACAGGUACAGAAACACCCCCAGUUCAAGGAUCUUCACACCUGGAUUUAGGCCUACUCCUGCAACUACCCCAGAACCUGGAAUUUAUAUGUUCAACAUGGAGCCAUCCCAGCCAUGACAACAGAGAAUGUACCACUCUCACGCCUCAGUGUCAUCAAGGAGACUCUCCUUGACAUG